This 270-nucleotide unclassified non-coding RNA is filed under the name Hevea brasiliensis (rubber tree). Lineage: Eukaryota; Viridiplantae; Streptophyta; Magnoliopsida; Malpighiales; Euphorbiaceae. The record is from RNAcentral.
CGCCAUUGGAAUCAAAAUGCCAUCUUCCAUCACUUUGACUGAGAGCCUUAAUGGAGUGAAAUACACCCUCAGCAUCAGACAGGACGACACUAGAACCUUGAGCCUUGAUAUGAACCAGACCUCCAACAGAAUAAUAAAGGUUCAUCAACGACGUUGCAUCUUUCGCAAUAGCUUGAAGCCUCGACGAGAUGUCCUCAACAAUCCCGGCAUCAAUCUGGCACACCAAAAUGCUAUUGACUCUCAAAGCAUCAAACAACUCCUUCGGUGUUG